UACGUAGGGUGCAGGCGUUAAUCGGAAUUACUGGGCGUAAGGCGUGCGCAGGCGGUUUGCUAAGACAGGUGUGAAAUCCCCGGGCUUAACCUGGGAACUGCGCUUGUUACUGGCAGGCUUGAAUGUGGCAGAGGGGGGUGGAAUUCCACGUGUAGCAGUGAAAUGCGUAGGGAUGUGGAGGAACACCGAUGGCGAAGGCAGCCCCCUGGGCUAACACUGACGCUCAUGCACGAAAGCGUGGGGAGCAAACAGG
RNAcentral lists this ribosomal RNA (253 nucleotides) under uncultured bacterium. RNAcentral describes it as "partial 16S ribosomal RNA". It matches the Rfam family "Bacterial small subunit ribosomal RNA", at positions 524 to 776 of the family's 1533-position model. The record is from RNAcentral.